GUGCUGCUUUGCCAGCACAUAUACUAAAAAUUGGAACGAUACAGAGAAGAUUCUGAUGGCCCCUGAGUAAGGAUGACAAGCAUAUUCUCAAAGGAUUCCAUACUUGG
This is a small nuclear RNA of Lutra lutra (Eurasian river otter), 107 nucleotides long. The record is from RefSeq and is a predicted model, not a curated record. Lineage: Eukaryota; Metazoa; Chordata; Mammalia; Carnivora; Mustelidae.